UACGUAGGUGGCAAGCGUUGUCCGGAAUUAUUGGGCGUAAAGGGCGUGUAGGCGGCCUGCCAAGUCUGAUGUGAAAUCUCACAGCUCAACUGUGAACGUGCAUUGGAAACUGGUAGGCUAGAGUGUCGGAGAGGAAAGCGGAAUUCCAUGUGUAGCGGUGAAAUGCGUAGAGAUAUGGAGGAACACCAGUGGCGAAAGCGGCUUUCUGGACGAUUACUGACGCUGAGACGCGAAAGCGUGGGGAGCAAACAGG
This 253-nucleotide ribosomal RNA is filed under the name uncultured bacterium. RNAcentral's name for it is "partial 16S ribosomal RNA". It matches the Rfam family "Bacterial small subunit ribosomal RNA", at positions 524 to 776 of the family's 1533-position model. The record is from RNAcentral.